Molecule: long non-coding RNA, 2532 nt
Organism: Acipenser ruthenus (sterlet)
Lineage: Eukaryota; Metazoa; Chordata; Actinopteri; Acipenseriformes; Acipenseridae
Exons: 3
Source: RefSeq, a predicted model, not a curated record
GUCAGUGGUCUUUAAGGGCUGCAUUACAAUGAAUGCUUUACUGAUUCUUUUGAAUAGGUUUUAGCUCAUUCUUUUUAAAAACAUUCUUUUAAAAACCUCCACUCAUUGAAGUAUUUACUGUAAUAUUAUCUUUCCUUUUCUUUUAUCUGUCAGGUAAGUACCUGUAUGUCCCUGAGAAUGGAGACUGUCUCCGUAGGGUUGUGACCGAUGAAGAGGAGAAGACUGCCAUUCUCAAUGAAGUUCACGCAGGACACUUUGGGAUCAAGAGGAUGAUGGGGAAAAUGAAUCAGCGAUUUUACUGGAAAGGGAUUGUAAAGGACGUGGAGCAAUGGAUCCAGAAUUGUGAAGCAUGCCAGAGAUUUGAGAGGGUGAAGACUGUUGCCCCAGAACUGAAUCCAAUCGAAGUUGUUCCUCCAUGGUGUUGAUCUUAUUGGACCAUUCCAGCCAUCGAAGGGAGGAAACCACUACUGCUUGAUGGCUACUGAUUUCUUUACAAAGUGGACUGAGGCCAUCCCCAUUAAAGACAAGUCAGCUGCUUGCACUGCAUCGGCUCUUGCAAGCCUGUUCUACCGUCACGGAGCACCAGAGAUUGUCUUGACAGACCAGGGUGGGGAAUUUUGGAACAAGGUGAGAUGAAAAUAUCAAAGUCUAUAGGUAAAAACUGGUUAUGAUGAAUAUGUCAAGUGCUGGUAAGUGUACAAUUAUAGUUUUCUUUUUUUAAAUACAUAUUUUCUUCCAUAAAAAAUAAACUUGAUUUUAAGUAAUUUUCUGCCUUUUGUAAAUUAGUUAAUUAAUUACAGCUCCUUGUUUACUAAUAUUUGCAAUUUGAAAUUAUUAUUUAUUUUCAGUGUUUUGUACAUUUCUUGAUUUCUGACUAUUUCUACCAUUAUCAGGUUAACCAGACUCUUUUCCAGAAUUGGGACAUCCGGCAUUGAAUUAGCUCUGCAUACCAUCCCCAGACAAAUGGUCUUGAUGAAAGGACCAACGACACCAUCAAGAGAGCUAUUGGGAAAACUCUGGCCGGAAAGCAAGAGAGGUGGGAGGACAGCCUAAAGGCUAUUGUGUUUGCCCACAACACCAGCAUUCAGGCUUCAACAAUACAGACCCCAUUCUUCCUGAUGUACAGCAGACUCUUUGGGAAUUAAUAAUAACCAUGAUUUCCGUUCCCAGGUCGUAUCACUGCUGCAGUACAGUGGAAAGAGAGUUCAUAUCGUGUGGCCACAUGCACAGUAGCAGGGAUGUAGUGACUGUGGACUGUUUACCAUCGCAAACAGCCUCACACUCUGCAUGGGUGGAGAUCCAGGUAAGUUAUGUUAUGAUCAAAAGCAAAUGCGUGAUCAUCUUUUUUCUUGUUUUGUAGAUGGAUCUCUUAUUCCUUUCCCGAGCUGUGAGAGAACCCCCCUCCCAGAGGUAAAUUUCUGUGAAAUGCAGGAGACCAUACAGGAUUGCACUGGAGCUGAUGGUGGAAUGCGGGAGGUGUGGCGAAUGGUUCCAUGGCCAGUGUGAAGAUCUACAGCCAGAUGACCUUAUAAGUAUGGAGGAGUAUAUGUGCUCCAUUUGCAGAGUUACACACAUGGGUAAGUAUGGUAAGUAAAGGUGUAACAGAUUUAUUAUUUUGUUUUUUACUGUAUGUUUUUUUGUACAUUUUAUACUAAGCAUUCUAGCUUAGUAUAUUAUACAAACACUAAAAUUUGGUAAUGCCCGUUAAGCAACAUUACCAUCAUUUACAGCUAUUUACAUAUGUACAGUAGGGAAUUGUUAAUAAGGCUCAUUGUCUUCAGUGUUUAUUUUUCAUGAGUGCACAAACUACUUAUUUUGAAGAUUUUUUUUUUUUUUCAGCAGACCCUGAUUCUGUAUUGAGACCUUUUUAUUUGGAGAAAUAUUGUAGAUGCUUUUGCACUCAUUUAAUAGGUAUGGUAGUCUUAGUUUCUGAGCUACUGAAUUAUUGCCUGACUUGAGUAUUUCCGGGACAGAGAUAUCCAAAGUAAACUGGAUGUCAGUUAUAAACACCCACCUUGUUUAAUGUAGUUAUUGUGAACCAGCUGGGGAGGUGCUGAUUCACUGUAUUUAAGUGAAAUUGUGCCAAAUAAGGUGGGUGUAACAUGAUAUAAAAGUACAGUAGAUGUAAUUCUGAAAUAAUAAACAACUUCACAUUUUACAUGGACAUGUUUCAGACAUUAAUGCUUCAAUUUCAAAUUCGAUUUCCAUUCCUAUUAACUGAUAUUAGACAAUUACAUACUAUACAAGUUAAGAGUAUGAAAUGUGCAUAUGAUUUACUGUGAUUUACUAUGAUUUAACAUAUGUCACUGUAAAUUGGUAAUGUCAUUUUUAGACAGGCAGCCUCUUUAAAGUCCUUUUUUUGUGGGUUAUGUGAGAAGUCAUUUGAAAGUUCUGUUAAACCUACUACUAACACCCCACUCCAUAGGUCAGGGCCUUGACAUGGUGAGUGGGCUUUUUACCAAAGCUGUCCAACAGUAUAGUGGGUUUUUUUGGGGGUUUUUUUGUUUUUUUUACUACUACUUACACAUUAAG